GACGAACGCUGGCGGCGUGCUUAACACAUGCAAGUCGAACGGAAAGGCCCUGCUUUUGUGGGGUGCUCGAGUGGCGAACGGGUGAGUAACACGUGAGUAACCUGCCCUUGACUUUGGGAUAACUUCAGGAAACUGGGGCUAAUACCGGAUAGGAGCUCCUGCUGCAUGGUGGGGGUUGGAAAGUUUCGGCGGUUGGGGAUGGACUCGCGGCUUAUCAGCUUGUUGGUGGGGUAGUGGCUUACCAAGGCUUUGACGGGUAGCCGGCCUGAGAGGGUGACCGGCCACAUUGGGACUGAGAUACGGACCAGACUCCUACGGGAGGCAGCAGUGGGGAAUAUUGCACAAUGGGGCGAAGCCUGAUGCAGCAACGCCGCGUGCGGGAUGACGGCCUUCGGGUUGUAAACCGCUUUCGCCUGUGACGAAGCGUGAGUGACGGUAAUGGGUAAAGAAGCACCGGCUAACUACGUG
Molecule: ribosomal RNA, 468 nt
Filed under: uncultured bacterium
Lineage: Bacteria
Description: partial 16S ribosomal RNA
Rfam family: Bacterial small subunit ribosomal RNA
Source: RNAcentral